Molecule: microRNA, 19 nt
Filed under: Homo sapiens (human)
Lineage: Eukaryota; Metazoa; Chordata; Mammalia; Primates; Hominidae
Description: hsa-miR-7704
Source: miRBase by way of RNAcentral
CGGGGUCGGCGGCGACGUG